GCCAAGUCGUGAGGCGGAGCUAAUCCCUUAAAGCCAUUCUCAGUUCGGAUUGUAGGCUGAAACUCGCCUACAUGAAGCUGGAGUUACUAGUAAUCGCAGAUCAGAAUGCUGCGGUGAAUGCGUUCCCGGGUCUUGUACACACCGCCCGUCACACCACGGAAGUUGGGGGCGCCCGAAGCCACUUAGCUAACCCUUUUGGGAAGCGAGUGUCGAAGGUGAAAUCAAUAACUGGGGUGAAGUCGUAACAAGGUAUC
RNAcentral lists this ribosomal RNA (254 nucleotides) under uncultured bacterium. RNAcentral describes it as "partial 16S ribosomal RNA". It matches the Rfam family "Bacterial small subunit ribosomal RNA", at positions 1249 to 1500 of the family's 1533-position model. The record is from RNAcentral.